This 472-nucleotide ribosomal RNA is filed under the name uncultured bacterium. RNAcentral describes it as "partial 16S ribosomal RNA". It matches the Rfam family "Bacterial small subunit ribosomal RNA", at positions 28 to 507 of the family's 1533-position model. The record is from RNAcentral.
GACGAACGCUGGCGGCGUGCUUAACACAUGCAAGUCGAACGAUAAACCCGGAGCUUCCUCUGGUGGAUAAGUGGCGAUCGGGUGCGUAACACGUGAGUAACCUGCCCUGGACUUUGGGAUAAGCGUUGGAAAGGACGCCUAAUACCGGAUAGGACCUUGGAUCCCGUGAUCUGGGGGGGAACGUUUUUUCGGUCUGGGAUGGACUAGCGGCUGAUCAGAUUGUUGGUGAGGUAAGGGCUCACCAAGGCGUCGACGGGUAGCCGGCCUGAGAGGGUGAUCGGCCACACUGCGAAUGAGACAGGGACCAGGCUGCGGCGAAAGGCGGAAGUGGGGAAGAAUGCACAACGAGCGAUAGCGUGAUGGAGAAGAAGCGCGUGCGGGAGGAAAGCCUUCGGGUUGUAAACCGCUAUUAGUAGGGUAGAAGGGCUUCGGCUUGACGGUACCUAAAGAAUAAGCACCGGCUAACUACGUG